GGCUCAAUGGGCUAGUGGUACGAUUCUAGUUUCGGGUGCGAGAGGUCCUGAGUUCAACUCUCACUUGAGCCC
Molecule: transfer RNA, 72 nt
Filed under: Clytia hemisphaerica
Lineage: Eukaryota; Metazoa; Cnidaria; Hydrozoa; Leptothecata; Clytiidae
Description: tRNA-Pro for anticodon CGG
Source: RNAcentral